Molecule: ribosomal RNA, 372 nt
Filed under: uncultured organism
Description: bacterial SSU rRNA
Rfam family: Bacterial small subunit ribosomal RNA
Source: RNAcentral
CAGAGGUCCCGAGCGUUGUUCGGAUUCACUGGGCGUAAAGGGUGCGUAGGUGGUGUGGCAAGUUUGAUGUGAGAUCUCCGGGCUUAACCCGGAAAAUGCAUUGAAUACUGCCAGGCUGGAGGGUUGGAGGGGGGACUGGAAUUCUCGGUGUAGCAGUGAAAUGCGUAGAUAUCGAGAGGAACACCAGUGGCGAAGGCGAGUCCCUGGACAACACCUGACACUGAGGCACGAAAGCUAGGGGAGCAAACAGGAUUAGAUACCCUGGUAGUCCUAGCCCUAAACGGUGCACGUUUGCUGUAAGAGGAAUCGACCCCUUUUGUGGCGAAGCUAACGCGAUAAACGUGCCGCCUGGGGAGUACGGUCGCAAGAUUA